UUAGAGAUUUAUGUGGUCGCAUGAAGCAAUUCAUGAGGAAAGUCCGAGCAGCAUAGAGUAAGGGUACCAGAUAACGUCUGGCUAGGGCGACCUAAGGUAAAGUGCAACAGAAAUAUACCGCUCGAAAGAGUAAGGGUGAAAAGGUGAGGUAAGAGCUCACAAACUUGUUAGGUAACUAACAUUUGCUGUAAACACUACCUGCUGCAAGAUAAGAGAAACAUUUAAAAGUUACUCGCUUCGUUUCUUGAUACAUCGCUUGAACAUGCUAGCAAUACCAUGUCUAGAUAGAUGACCACUUAAUACAGAACUCGGCUUAUUUAAUGUCUAACUAA
Molecule: RNase P RNA, 332 nt
Filed under: Bacillota bacterium
Lineage: Bacteria; Bacillati; Bacillota
Also listed under: 1 other name
Description: RNase P RNA component class A
Rfam family: Bacterial RNase P class A
About the family: Ribonuclease P (RNase P) is a ubiquitous endoribonuclease, found in archaea, bacteria and eukarya as well as chloroplasts and mitochondria. Its best characterised activity is the generation of mature 5'-ends of tRNAs by cleaving the 5'-leader elements of precursor-tRNAs.
Source: RNAcentral